Molecule: ribosomal RNA, 465 nt
Filed under: uncultured bacterium
Lineage: Bacteria
Description: partial 16S ribosomal RNA
Rfam family: Bacterial small subunit ribosomal RNA
Source: RNAcentral
GACGAACGCUGGCGGCGUGCUUAACACAUGCGAGUCGAACGGAAAGGCCCUGCUUGCAGGGUACUCGAGUGGCGAACGGGUGAGUAACACGUGGGUGAUCUGCCCUGCACUUCGGGAUAAGCCUGGGAAACUGGGUCUAAUACCGGAUAGGAGCCAUUUUUAGUGUGAUGGUUGGAAAGUUUUUUCGGUGUAGGAUGAGCUCGCGGCCUAUCAGCUUGUUGGUGGGGUAAUGGCCUACCAAGGCGGCGACGGGUAGCCGGCCUGAGAGGGUGGACGGCCACAUUGGGACUGAGAUACGGCCCAGACUCCUACGGGAGGCAGCAGUGGGGAAUAUUGCACAAUGGGCGCAAGCCUGAUGCAGCGACGCCGCGUGGGGGAUGACGGCCUUCGGGUUGUAAACUCCGUUCGCUAGGGACGAAGCUUUUUGUGACGGUACCUAGAGAAGAAGCACCGGCUAACUACGUG